AGAGUUUGAUCCUGGCUCAGAACGAACGUUAGCGGUGUGGAUUAGGCAUGCAAGUCGCGCGCGAAAGUCUUCGGACGAGUAAAGCGGCGAAAGGGUGAGUAAUACGUAGUCAACCUGCCCUCGAGAUCGGGACAACCACUGGAAACGGUGGCUAAUACCGGAUGGUCCCACCGGGAGGAUUCUCCUGGUGCGUAAACGGUAGCGAAAGCUUCUGCUCGAGGAGGGGAUUGCGGGCUAUCAGCUAGUUGGCGGGGUAACGGCCCACCAAGGCGAUGACGGCUAGCUGGUCUGAGAGGACGACCAGCCACACUGGGACUGAGACACUGCCCAGACUCCUACGGGAGGCUGCAGUCGAGAAUCUUCCGCAACGGGCGAAAGCCUGACGGAGCGACACCGCGUGCAGGAUGAAGGCCUUCGGGUUGUAAACUGCUGUCACGCUAUAGGAACCGCUUGGAGUUAAUAGCUCCAAGCCUGACUAAAGCGAGAGGAAGCACCGGCUAACUCCGUGCCAGCAGCCGCGGUAAGACGGAGGGUGCAAACGUUGUUCGGAAUCACUGGGCAUAAAGCGCACGUAGGCGGUCCGCUAAGUCAGUUGUGAAAUCCCUCGGCUCAACCGAGGAUCUGCACCUGAUACUGGCGGGCUCGAGGACGGUAGGGGUGAGUGGAACUCCAGGUGGAGCGGUGAAAUGCGUAGAUAUCUGGAGGAACACCGGUGGCGAAAGCGGCUCACUGGACCGUAUCUGACGCUGAGGUGCGAAAGCUAGGGUAGCAAACGGGAUUAGAUACCCCGGUAGUCCUAGCCGUAAACGAUGGGUACUAGGCAAUGGGGAUACCUAUGUUCCUCAUUGCCGGAGCAAAUGUAUUAAGUACCCCGCCUGGGGAGUACGCUCGCAAGGGUGAAACUCAAAGGAAUUGACGG
RNAcentral lists this ribosomal RNA (919 nucleotides) under uncultured bacterium. Its description in RNAcentral is "bacterial SSU rRNA". It matches the Rfam family "Bacterial small subunit ribosomal RNA", at positions 8 to 916 of the family's 1533-position model. The record is from RNAcentral.